Non-coding RNA from Taeniopygia guttata (zebra finch), 788 nucleotides. The record is from RefSeq and is a predicted model, not a curated record. NCBI's taxonomy places the organism in Eukaryota, Metazoa, Chordata, Aves, Passeriformes, Estrildidae.
CUAAACUUCCAGUAGACUGGCAGCAUCUUUAUGUUUAUUUUUGGUGGAAUGACCUUUCCACGUGUAAAGGCUCUAGAUGCUUUCUGAUUAAGUUAUACUUCCACAUGAGAAACUUUCAGCUCAGAGAAAUUAGGUGAAAUUUUAAGAAAAAGGAUGUUCCCUUGAAACAUAAAUUUGUAAUGAAAUUUGCUUUUUCUUGGUUUUUUUUUGGUUUUUUUUUCGUUGCUGUCAAUUUUUACAACCAGAUUUUUAGAAGAGUUGAUGGACUUGAUGAACUAUGAAAAAACAGAAAUGACUCUUCCAGUUUUGACCUACAGAUCUGAGGUGAAGACCAGCCAGCAAACCAUCUCUGCAAGAUUUCACUGCCACAGCAGAGCUGUCAGACUUGGAAUUAAGAAUAAGAAUGAGAGUGCUGUGAUUGUUCUGAAGGAGCUGCAUGUGAGGGUGCUCAUCCUCUGCCUGUCCAGAGCUUGUGGGACAGUGAGUUUUAUUCAUGAGAUGACAACUGCUCUAUAUGAAAAGCAGUGCUCAGGAUAAUAAUCUUUAAAACAUGCCUUCCUAUUCUAAAUUUAAAGAUAUUUCAGAUAAAAAAAUAGGGACUAGAAGGUAAAAUGUAAAAAGUGCUACAGCAAAAUUUUUGUCUUCCAUGCAAAAAGCCUACAGAUAAUUACAGGAAAGUAACCCUUUGUGAUUGUGGUUACUACAGAACUACUAGGAAAUUAAUGGGCACGCUGUUUAUUAGUUUAACACAUGAAACAGUCACACGUGUGCAAUAAACCAUUUGGGGC